AUUGAACGCUGGCGGCAGGCCUAACACAUGCCAGUCGAACGGUAACAGGAAGCAGCUUGCUGCUUUGCUGACGAGUGGCGGACGGGUGAGUAAUGUCUGGGAAACUGCCUGAUGGAGGGGGAUAACUACUGGAAACGGUAGCUAAUACCGCAUAACGUCGCAAGACCAAAGAGGGGGACCUUCGGGCCUCUUGCCAUCGGAUGUGCCCAGAUGGGAUUAGCUAGUAGGUGGGGUAACGGCUCACCUAGGCGACGAUCCCUAGCUGGUCUGAGAGGAUGACCAGCCACACUGGAACUGAGACACGGUCCAGACUCCUACGGGAGGCAGCAGUGGGGAAUAGUGCACAAUGGGCGCAAGCCUGAUGCAGCCAUGCCGCGUGUAUGAAGAAGGCCUUCGGGUUGUAAAGUACUUUCAGCGGGGAGGAAGGGAGUAAAGUUAAUACCUUUGCUCAUUGACGUUACCCGCAGAAGAAGCACCGGCGAACUCCGU
RNAcentral lists this ribosomal RNA (489 nucleotides) under uncultured bacterium. RNAcentral describes it as "partial 16S ribosomal RNA". It matches the Rfam family "Bacterial small subunit ribosomal RNA", at positions 30 to 506 of the family's 1533-position model. The record is from RNAcentral.